This is a long non-coding RNA of Manduca sexta (tobacco hornworm), 1224 nucleotides long. RefSeq lists it as uncharacterized. NCBI's taxonomy places the organism in Eukaryota, Metazoa, Arthropoda, Insecta, Lepidoptera, Sphingidae. The record is from RefSeq and is a predicted model, not a curated record. The transcript has 2 exons.
UUAUCAGUCUGUCGCAACUUCAUAGUAAAAAAUAAAUGUAUGAAACGGGAAUAAAUUUUAAUGGCGACUAUAUUUGUCUCGCUCACUUUCUUAGUGUUCCUCAAUCUCUCCCACAAUGUCAUUCGAAUCAUUGUCUUUGCGCUCUGUGUCAAUCAAAUGUUACCGGCGGUAUCAUAUUUUUUAGGUGAAAAAGUGUUCAUUUACCAAGUGUAUUACUGCAAAUAGGUGUUUCAAAGUGUUUAUUCGGAUUUAGCGUUAUUUAGAACAUUUUAUUUAUAAGAAUGGCUUAUAGAAAAUGUGUAAUAUGUGGUUUGAGAUCGGAGCGUAAAGAUGGCAUAAAACGUUAUUUUAUGGCUAGAUUUCCUCUAGAUGAACGUCGUUAACUUGGAAUUUCUUUAUUUAACAGAUCUUUGUUUUGAUUUUCAUUCUUAAUUUUAGUUUUUUCUCUAAUAAAUUAGUUUUUGAAAGUUUUAAAUCAGGGAAAUAGUGUUGGGAAACAGAAUAUUUACAUUGUCGAUAUUUUUACUUUCAGGUGUAAAGAAUGGGUAAAAAUGGCAGGAAAUGAGGAUCUAGCUUAUUUGCUCAUUGAAAAACUUAAUCAGUUAAGAUUCGUUUGUGGAAAGCAUUUUAAAAAUAGUCAUUUUAAAAGAUAAAAGGAACACAGCUGAAGAAAACGGCUGUACCAUCAAUAAGGCUUACUUCUAAUUGGAACAAUCAAAUGCAGAUAUAAAUAAAAUUGCUCAAUUAACGAGUUCAGCUAAGGUCCUUACACUGUCGCAACAUUUACGACAGUUAGUGCCUUUAACCAGUACAGAGGCCAAAUAACCACUAACAUAAACAACUGGUUGUUUGUCGAAACGUUCAAACAAAUCCUUUUCUACAUCCGUCUCAAUAUCUGGUAAAUGUAAAAUAGCAUCGUUACUAUCACAUAAAUAAUCGUCUAUAUCAUAAGCAACUGUGUGAUACGAGUGCUCUACACCAAUUAAAUCUUCUGAUUUUGAUUUUUUACUAAAUACCAAAUCAUGAAAUCUAACAUCAAUUGGUUAUCAUCAGGGUCACAAUUAGCUCCCCUUAUAGGAGUACUAAGAUUCGUUAAUAUAGUGGUUUUGAGUGCAGCGGUAAAAUGGUGGCAUGUCGGAUUUUGGUUUGUUGGAGAAUGUUGCCUAAUUAAACCGAAAAGAUUCUCCAAAGAAUCUUGAUUGAGUUGGCGCAAAUUAAGGAAUU